GCCGUGACAGGUAGCGCGUAUUGAAACCCUCGCGGCUCAGGCCCGCGAAGAUGAACGUGCGGAUCCAUUCGCGCCGCA
RNAcentral lists this transfer RNA (78 nucleotides) under Burkholderia contaminans. Its description in RNAcentral is "tRNA-Leu". The record is from RNAcentral. Lineage: Bacteria; Pseudomonadati; Pseudomonadota; Betaproteobacteria; Burkholderiales; Burkholderiaceae.